RNAcentral lists this long non-coding RNA (612 nucleotides) under Monodelphis domestica (gray short-tailed opossum). Its description in RNAcentral is "lncRNA (ENSMODG00000037258.1)". The record is from RNAcentral. Lineage: Eukaryota; Metazoa; Chordata; Mammalia; Didelphimorphia; Didelphidae.
AGUUAUUCCAGCUUGUGUUUUUCUAGCCUCCUUGUAAUAUUCAGGUGAUACAGUCCCAGGUUAAGCACAGCUGGCCAAUUGAUAUACUUCAAAGGAAUCGGCACAAGACAUUUGGACUGGCACUGACUAAAUAAAUUGAAGAAGACAUUAACAAUACUUAUGGAAUCAAGUGCAUCUCAAAAUGUUGUCUGGAGAACCCUGUGGAUCCCUGAGAACACUUUUAGGAGUUCUAUUUCCUGGAUCCAACUGAGCUCCGAAGCUAAAAUGAUGAAACUGAGCAAGAUACAUUAUUCUGAUUUCUAAUCCAAAUACUGAUACUACAGGAAAAAAGCAAAAGAGAUACUUGGAAGACCACAAGUUCUGAGGAACAUCAAAAAAUGUGGGGUAUUCUGGGAAGUUUUUGAAGUUCUCUGAUGAUCAUUUGAACCCCUAUCAAAUCUCGGCAAAUCUUAGUAACAGAAGGACAUAAUAAGGUUAAUAAUUAACAGUAUAGUCAACAGCUUCAAGCAUUUAAUAGACCAACACAAAGCUAAAGUUGGCUAAUUAGCAAAGGGGACCAGCUCACCUCAAUAGCUAAUGGGGAAAAAUAAAUUAAGACUAAUUUGUUUUACA